Molecule: long non-coding RNA, 529 nt
Organism: Neopelma chrysocephalum (saffron-crested tyrant-manakin)
Lineage: Eukaryota; Metazoa; Chordata; Aves; Passeriformes; Pipridae
Exons: 2
Source: RefSeq, a predicted model, not a curated record
GGAACAGUCUGAGUGGUUACACUGCAGCCAGGCACCCCAAGCUCUCCUGCAUGCUCCCCUUCCCACGGUCAGCUCUGCCUCUGGUGAGAGCAGCCACUGAUUAGUCCUGCCAGAAACCACACUGCCCUGGUUCAGGCACAGAAAAAAAGAACAGAUAACACGAGAGAGAAAGCCAGAGAGAGGGAAGGAGGCAGGAGCAAGUGGGACUGCUGUUGCUGAUGUAUUAUUUAUAUAGCAGGAAAUUAGGCUCUGAGGACUCAAGUAUUCUUCAAAUAAGCUUCCUAAUUCUGUCAAUUAAGAAUGCACAGGCUGCUGGGGCUCUAGCUUGGGAUGAGCCGCAGAGGAGUGAAAGCUGCCCCUGGUCAUUGCUCUGAUGUGCUGCUACAGAUAUUUCAGCUGGAGGAAAAAUAUCUUAGUCCCAAAAUCAAACGUGUGAGAUGCUGGGAGGGUUAUAUAGAGCAGCUCUGGCUGAUUCCAGUGGGACAAAUAACUUCCCUGUGCUCUGACAGGGGAAUACUGAAAUGCUGAA